Molecule: long non-coding RNA, 275 nt
Organism: Tupaia belangeri chinensis (Chinese tree shrew)
Lineage: Eukaryota; Metazoa; Chordata; Mammalia; Scandentia; Tupaiidae
Exons: 3
Source: RefSeq, a predicted model, not a curated record
CCUUUCAAGCCUCCCCGGACCCAAAGAGUCCCUGGAGUGCAGAAGCUUGAGAAAAUGGGGGGCGGGGGGGCCUGGAGGCAAGUUCGAGGCCCACCAUGGUCAGCUUCCCUGAGGAAGAGGCCCAGAGGACACUCAGGUAACAAACGUUCUCCCAUCAAACCUCUGUGCAAAAGCCAGUUGUCCUCAAGAAGACGCCGGACGGAGCAGGUGGCCUUGGUGACUGGCGUGAGGGAAGGCUUCGGGGUGGCGUGGUGGUUAAGGUGCUGGACACCCAC